This 608-nucleotide ribosomal RNA is filed under the name Enterococcus faecium. Its description in RNAcentral is "bacterial SSU rRNA". It matches the Rfam family "Bacterial small subunit ribosomal RNA", at positions 1 to 580 of the family's 1533-position model. Lineage: Bacteria; Bacillati; Bacillota; Bacilli; Lactobacillales; Enterococcaceae. The record is from RNAcentral.
UUUUAUGAGAGUUUGAUCCUGGCUCAGGACGAACGCUGGCGGCGUGCCUAAUACAUGCAAGUCGAACGCUUCUUUUUCCACCGGAGCUUGCUCCACCGGAAAAAGAGGAGUGGCGAACGGGUGAGUAACACGUGGGUAACCUGCCCAUCAGAAGGGGAUAACACUUGGAAACAGGUGCUAAUACCGUAUAACAAUCAAAACCGCAUGGUUUUGAUUUGAAAGGCGCUUUCGGGUGUCGCUGAUGGAUGGACCCGCGGUGCAUUAGCUAGUUGGUGAGGUAACGGCUCACCAAGGCCACGAUGCAUAGCCGACCUGAGAGGGUGAUCGGCCACAUUGGGACUGAGACACGGCCCAAACUCCUACGGGAGGCAGCAGUAGGGAAUCUUCGGCAAUGGACGAAAGUCUGACCGAGCAACGCCGCGUGAGUGAAGAAGAGUUUCGGAUCGUAAAACUCUGUUGUUAGAGAAGAACAAGGAUGAGAGUAACUGUUCAUCCCUUGACGGUAUCUAACCAGAAAGCCACGGCUAACUCCGUGCCAGCAGCCGCGGUAAUACGUAGGUGGCCAGCGGUGUCCGGAUUUAUUGGGCGUAAAGCGAGCGCAAGCGGUU